This 302-nucleotide ribosomal RNA is filed under the name uncultured bacterium. RNAcentral's name for it is "partial 16S ribosomal RNA". It matches the Rfam family "Bacterial small subunit ribosomal RNA", at positions 508 to 807 of the family's 1533-position model. The record is from RNAcentral.
GCAGUAGCCGCGGUAACACAGAGGGUGCGAGCGUUAAUCGGAUUUACUGGGCGUAAAGCGUGCGUAGGCGGCUUUUUAAGUCGGAUGUGAAAUCCCUGAGCUUAACUUAGGAAUUGCAUUCGAUACUGGGAAGCUAGAGUAUGGGAGAGGAUGGUAGAAUUCCAGGUGUAGCGGUGAAAUGCGUAGAGAUCUGGAGGAAUACCGAUGGCGAAGGCAGCCAUCUGGCCUAAUACUGACGCUGAGGUACGAAAGCAUGGGGAGCAAACAGGAUUAGAUACCCCGGUAGUCCCUGUCUCUUAUAC